UUGGUCAUUUAGAGGAAGUAAAAGUCGUAACAAGGUCUCCGUUGGUGAACCAGCGGAGGGAUCAUUACCGAGUUUACAACUCCCAAACCCCUGUGAACAUACCAAUUGUUGCCUCGGCGGAUCAGCCCGCUCCCGGUAAAACGGGACGGCCCGCCAGAGGACCCCUAAACUCUGUUUCUAUAUGUAACUUCUGAGUAAAACCAUAAAUAAAUCAAAACUUUCAACAACGGAUCUCUUGGUUCUGGCAUCGAUGAAGAACGCAGCAAAAUGCGAUAAGUAAUGUGAAUUGCAGAAUUCAGUGAAUCAUCGAAUCUUUGAACGCACAUUGCGCCCGCCAGUAUUCUGGCGGGCAUGCCUGUUCGAGCGUCAUUUCAACCCUCAAGCCCCCGGGUUUGGUGUUGGGGAUCGGCGAGCCCUUGCGGCAAGCCGGCCCCGAAAUCUAGUGGCGGUCUCGCUGCAGCCUCCAUUGCGUAGUAGCUAACACCUCGCAACUGGAACGCGGCGCGGCCAAGCCGUUAAACCCCAACUUCUGAAUGUUGACCUCGGAUCAGGUAGGAAUACCCGCUGAACUUAAGCAUAUCAAUAAG
This 587-nucleotide ribosomal RNA is filed under the name uncultured fungus. RNAcentral describes it as "eukaryotic LSU rRNA". The stretch from base 216 to 369 matches the Rfam family "5.8S ribosomal RNA". The record is from RNAcentral. Lineage: Eukaryota; Fungi.